Long non-coding RNA from Dreissena polymorpha, 1781 nucleotides. RefSeq lists it as uncharacterized. The record is from RefSeq and is a predicted model, not a curated record. NCBI's taxonomy places the organism in Eukaryota, Metazoa, Mollusca, Bivalvia, Myida, Dreissenidae. The transcript is spliced from 4 exons.
UUGCUAAUAGAAGCCAGUUGAUUCUUCCACAGUAAAUUCGUGCCCAGAUCCUAGAGCACAAAUAAGUCAGUGUAUUAUUUAUGUUUUUUUAUUUAGGCAAAAACAGAGGGAGAGAUGAGAAGAAGUAAAUGCGUGAGACAGCCAUCUAAGAGAAUGUUGUUGUAUUCUCAGGACACAGAUUCAGAUUCAAGUCUACAGAAGAGUUAAGGAAAACGUCCUGCCAGAAAGUUGAUACAUUAGCAACAAUAACUAAGUGGUGCUCUUGUCACAGAUGCCCACAAAACGAGAGAGUGGAAGAUCGAGUUUGCUGUGGGAUGGUCCCAGAAUUAUGCUCAAGUCACAGACCUGAGAUGACUCUUUCGGUGCUGGAUAGGAUGACCCUCUACAGUCAGCAGCAGUAUCAACAAGAUGUGUUUUCCUUUUAUGCAGAGACACUAGAAGAUGUCAAUAAAUCUUUCAGACAUGCUGCAUACAGACAAUUUACCAUCUUAAUGCAUGAGAAUAACUGUCCCAGCAUGUUGUGUUAAAUUAAUAAGGGAGAAGUUUCCUAGUCCUUAAGGCCAGUAUACAGGCUUCGUACCAGGUGAAGGCCCAGUGUUCUAAUAAUUUUGCAUAUUUAUGCCCCCCUUCGAAGAAGAGGGGGUAUAUAGUUUUGCACAUGUCGGUCCGUCCACCAGAUGGUUUCGGGAUGAUUACUUAAGAACGCUUAGGCCUAGGAUCAUGAAACUUCAUAGGUACAUUGAUCAUGACUGGCAAAUAACCCCUAUUGAUUUUCAGGUCACUAGGUCAAAGGUCAGUGACUCGAAACAGUAAAGCGGUUUCCGGAUGAUAACUCAAGAAUGCAUACGCCUAGGAUCUUGAAACUUCAUAGGUACAUUGAUCACGACUGGCAGAGGACCCCUUUAGAUUUUCUGGUCACAAGGUCAAGGUCACAGUGACUCAAAACAAUAAAAUGGUUUCCAGCUGAUAACUCAAGAAUGCUUACGCCUUUUGAUCAUGAAACUUCAUAGCUACAUUGAUAAUGACUGGCAGAUGACCCCUUUUAAUUUUCAGGUCACUAUGUCAAAGGUCAAGGUCACAGUGACAAAAAACGUAUUAACACAAUAGCUGCCACUACAACUGACAGCCCAUAUGGGGGGCAUGCAUGUUUUACAAACAGCCCUUGUUGCUAUUCUUUUUCAUUUAUCAGACAUAGAACUUUUCUUAGUUUUGAUUAUUUUUUGUUCUGGCUCCUUUUUUGAAACAUUUAUAUUUAUGCAAAUCAUUUGAGUUAUGCUUAAUCAUUUGGAUUUUUCAGUUGUAUGCAUUUUGUUUUGAAAAAUCAAUUUGUGUGAAAUGUGCUAGUUUAUUAUUAAAACUUGCACAGCAGUUUUUACAUUUGUAUGCUUACUUUGGUGUCAUUUGAAUGAAAUGCCACGAGUACUCUGGAUUGUAAGAUGAAAGAAAUAAAAGAAGCAAUGACAUAUUUCUUAAGAAUACUAUGUAAAUAAACUAAUUGAAAAUCAAAAUUCAUUUCUUGUAUACUUAUUUUAUUUUCUUGUUUGAACUUAAUAGUUUGAUUUUUACACUUUUUAGCUCACCUGAACACAAUGUGCUCAUGGUGAGCUUUUGUGAUCGCCUUUUGUCCGUCGUGCGGCGUCUACAUUUGCCUUGUUAACACUCUACAGCCGUAAAAUAAAGAUUGGUCUCAAGGAUAUUUUGGAUGAGUUCAAAAAUGGUAACGUUUGCUUGAAAAGACCGUUCAUAAAAAAACAGUCAAUUGUGUAUUACCUGUUUUUAUU